This is a long non-coding RNA of Tupaia belangeri chinensis (Chinese tree shrew), 577 nucleotides long. RefSeq lists it as uncharacterized. The transcript has 3 exons. Lineage: Eukaryota; Metazoa; Chordata; Mammalia; Scandentia; Tupaiidae. The record is from RefSeq and is a predicted model, not a curated record.
GUGAAGGGUGCUCCAGCAGCAGGCUAGAGAAGAGGGAUGUUCUGGAGCCCUGUGAUUGGUUGUGCCUGAGGAGAAACCAGAGAUCCCAGCGGGGCCGAAGAGAAAGAACCCUUGCUCCGCUCACCCGAAGUGGGCGCAUUCCUGUCCCACUGGGUCUGGAAUCGAGCCCUUGCCCCGCGUGAGGACCUAGUAUGAACGUGACAAGAAAGGGCCCUUUUCGUUACUUUUUAAAGCAAGGUCCAUCGUCAGUUGGACGAUCCCACCUUCAGUGGAGGUGACGGUUUACAGUUCGCCACCCUGGCUGCCAGGCCCGACCAAGCCUUCGGACAUCACUGUCUGCUGUUUCCUAGCGGCCAGUCCAGGAGACACACUGCCCUGCUGGGCUCUCCAGCCUCCCCCCUUGUCCUUGCUAAUUAUUAUUUUUAUUAAUUGUGUGGAUGGCGAGGGCGGCCACGGCGUAGGAGACCACAGGGGCUGAUCUCACUGGCGUUCUAGCGAGGUCUCUGGGAGGGUGGCAGGACAGCAGACCGACCGGGGCGCUGGGAAGCCACGCUAACCUCAUUCACACUCUCGGAGC